This 320-nucleotide ribosomal RNA is filed under the name Escherichia coli. RNAcentral's name for it is "partial 23S ribosomal RNA". It matches the Rfam family "Bacterial large subunit ribosomal RNA", at positions 728 to 1045 of the family's 2925-position model. The record is from RNAcentral. Lineage: Bacteria; Pseudomonadati; Pseudomonadota; Gammaproteobacteria; Enterobacterales; Enterobacteriaceae.
AUCUAGCCAUGGGCAGGUUGAAGGUUGGGUAACACUAACUGGAGGACCGAACCGACUAAUGUUGAAAAAUUAGCGGAUGACUUGUGGCUGGGGGUGAAAGGCCAAUCAAACCGGGAGAUAGCUGGUUCUCCCCGAAAGCUAUUUAGGUAGCGCCUCGUGAAUUCAUCUCCGGGGGUAGAGCACUGUUUCGGCAAGGGGGUCAUCCCGACUUACCAACCCGAUGCAAACUGCGAAUACCGGAGAAUGUUAUCACGGGAGACACACGGCGGGUGCUAACGUCCGUCGUGAAGAGGGAAACAACCCAGACCGCCAGCUAAGGU